CGAAAUAUCAUGUUUUCGAAUGUUCUAACCAAGUCGGGGAAAACAUUCUUUGUAGUUUCUUCAUUGAAUGCAUUAAGAUGAGAUUGAAUGGCAAGAAUGGAUUUAAUCAGUGCUACCAGUAUUUUAUUGGGAUUUUUAAGGGGAAUAUACUUCGAUUUCUCAUCAGAACAUCGAGGAGAGAAACUACUCAACCUGAAAAUUUAACGAUUUUGAGGAAACAGAAACACAAAGAACAAGAAGUAAUUUCAGAAUUACAAACAAAAGCUCGCCUGUUUAAGGGCAAGAGCAGACAAGCUGACAGCCUCCGAUACCAACAAGUGAAUCUGUCGUCGUGAUUCCUAAAAACCACGAAGCAAUCUUGCUGAUCUCUACCGUCUGCAAAUGUUUUCGAAAAUAAUAGUCAUUCUCCAAAUGUUGAAAUGGAGUUAUCUAUUCGGAUGCUAAUAAUCUCACUCUGAAGAAUCGGAAGUUGGCUUUCAGUUUCCGGUUUGUCUCGAGGAAGUUAGCCGGAAAGUGAUGCAAUUUGGCCGGAGAUAGGAGCAUGAAGUCCAUGUUUCAUGUCUGAUUUUCCCGGGAAGAGGGCCUCUAAGUUGGUCUCAAACUGAGGUUAGAAAAAUUUAUACCUUGGGCUUAUAUAUG
RNAcentral lists this long non-coding RNA (639 nucleotides) under Carica papaya (papaya). Its description in RNAcentral is "long non-coding RNA (CPAP_LNC006576)". Lineage: Eukaryota; Viridiplantae; Streptophyta; Magnoliopsida; Brassicales; Caricaceae. The record is from RNAcentral.